AUUGAACGCUGGCGGCAUGCCUUACACAUGCAAGUCGAACGGCAGCACGGGAGCAAUCCUGGUGGCGAGUGGCGAACGGGUGAGUAAUGUAUCGGAACGUGCCCAGUAGUGGGGGAUAACGUAGCGAAAGCUACGCUAAUACCGCAUACGAUCUAUGGAUGAAAGCGGGGGAUCGCAAGACCUCGCGCGAUUGGAGCGGCCGAUAUCAGAUUAGGUAGUUGGUGGGGUAAAAGCUCACCAAGCCGACGAUCUGUAGCUGGUCUGAGAGGACGACCAGCCACACUGGGACGAGGACACUGCCCAGCCGCCUACGGGAGGCAGCAGUGGGAAAUUUUGGACAAUGGGCGCAAGCCUGAUCCAGCAAUGCCUCGGGCAGGAUGAAGGCCUUCGGGUUGUAAACUGCUUCGUACGGAACGAAACGGCGAGCUCUAAUACAGUUUGCUAAUGACGGUACCGUAAGAAUAAGCACCGGCUAACUACGUGCCAGCCGCCGCCGUAA
Molecule: ribosomal RNA, 499 nt
Filed under: uncultured bacterium
Lineage: Bacteria
Description: partial 16S ribosomal RNA
Rfam family: Bacterial small subunit ribosomal RNA
Source: RNAcentral